This 497-nucleotide ribosomal RNA is filed under the name uncultured bacterium. Its description in RNAcentral is "partial 16S ribosomal RNA". It matches the Rfam family "Bacterial small subunit ribosomal RNA", at positions 28 to 507 of the family's 1533-position model. The record is from RNAcentral.
GAUGAACGCUGGCGGCGUGCUUAAUACAUGCAAGUCGAGCGAACAGACCAGGAGCUUGCUCCUCUGACGUUAGCCGCGGGCGGGUGAGUAACACGUGGAUAACCUACCUAUAAGACUGGGAUAACUUCGGGAAACCGGAGCUUAUACCGGAUGAUAUAUUGAACCGCAGGGUGCAAUAGUGAAAGACGGUUUUGCUGUCACUUAUAGAUGGUUCCGCGCCGCAUUAGCUAGUUGGUAAGGUUACGGCUUACCAAGGCAACGAUGCGUAGCCGAACUGAGUGGGUGAUCGGCCACACUGGAACUGAGACAGGGUCCAGGCGCCUACGGGAGGCAGCAGUAGGGAAUCUUCCGCAAUGGGCGAAAGCCUGACGGAGCAGCGCCGCGUGAGUGAUGAAGGUCUUCGGAUCGUAAAGCUCUGUUAUUAGGGAAGAACAAAUGUGUAAGUAACUGUGCCCGUCUUGACGGUACCUAAUCAGAAAGCCCCGGCUAACUACGUG